Molecule: long non-coding RNA, 1451 nt
Organism: Neogale vison (American mink)
Lineage: Eukaryota; Metazoa; Chordata; Mammalia; Carnivora; Mustelidae
Exons: 5
Source: RefSeq, a predicted model, not a curated record
GCACAGAGAGAAAAGCAAGCAGAAGCCAUGACAGGGGAAGGGGGAAGCAAGAUGUCACCAGCGGCAGAGGAGGAAGACCAAACUUAGUGAGAGAAGUGGGGCCAAGAACACUGAGGGGCUGUCAGCGCCUGAGUCAUUCCAAGCAAGACAGAACAUACAGGAAGAACUUGGGAAAAUUGAUGAGACCAAAGAAUUUUGAAAGAUAUAUAAACGUACCAGACUUCUGUGGGUCACUAAGUGCAGCAGUACUGACAUAAAGACUUUCCCGAAAGAGGACACACAGAGAAGUGAUAAGAUAAUGAGACCAUUCUCCAAAUCCUGCAGAUCCCGGCGCUCUUGCCAUUUGCGACGACGUGGAUGGAACUAGAGGGUAUUAUGCUGAGCGAAAUCACCUGGGCAAGGGAUGCAGGAAGAGGACAAGACAACACCCCUGAGACCAGGGCUCCUGACAUGACACAGACAACACACAGCUGAUGUCAAGCCACUGACGUGAUACCACUGACCGUGAAGGUGGGAAGAGAUGUGCUUCGCCGGCUCAAAAGAAUCUCUAUGUACUGGUGGCCAGGACACCCCUGGAACUGGGCUGCUUUUGAACGUCUAGAUUCUGAAGACUUUCUUUUUCCCUUUCUUUUCUUCUCUUCUUGGGGGCCAGCGGGUUCUCUAGGACACGAUCUCCUCGUUUGUAAAAUGGGUUAAUGGGAACAGGUAAUCUCUAAGCUUUCUCUAAGCUCAGUUCUUUAAAUAUUUCAGUAAUUUCCCAUUCUGAGUUUUAAGGCAGACUGAGUAUUAUAGCAGAAUUUUUAAAAGUUCUGGGGCGCCUGGGUGGCUCAGUGGGUUGAAGCCUCUGCCUUCGGCUCAGGUCAUGAUCGCAGGAUCCUAGGAUUCCAGGAUAGAGCCCGCAACAGGCACUCUGCUCCUGGGGAGAGCUCUCUGGGGAGCUUGCUUCCCUUCCUCUUUCUCUGCCCAUCUCUCUGCCUACUUGUGAUCUCUGUCUGUAAAAUAAAUAAUAAAUAAACUCUUAAAAAAAAAAAAAAAGUUCCGCUGCGUCUAAGCUUAUACUCUAGGGACUUAAGAGAUGUAGGGUAUUAUCCAACACAGAGGCAUGUUAUUUCUAGUUCAGUGAGGUUUAUUUUAUUAAAUUUAGCUCUAGUUUUCAGAGAUAUAUUAAAUGGUAGACUCCCAUGAUCUUGUCACAAUGAUGUCGGUUCCUACUGUUCAGCUCAAAAAGAAAAAAACAACAACCAAAAAACCUGCCAAGUCAAUGACGAGAAACACAUUAUGGUUGGUUGUACCUGCUUUAUUUCUUCUUCGGCAUUUUCAAAAUGGGCAAAAUUAAGGGUAUCCCUAGUUGUGAUGCAUGGGAGAAGUAACAGCUAGUCUCUUUUGCUAGAACUGCACUUUCUUUUGUCUUUUUUUUUAAAGAUUUUAUUUAUUUAUUUGACAGAGAGAGA